Long non-coding RNA from Myiozetetes cayanensis, 414 nucleotides. RefSeq lists it as uncharacterized. The transcript is spliced from 2 exons. The record is from RefSeq and is a predicted model, not a curated record. Lineage: Eukaryota; Metazoa; Chordata; Aves; Passeriformes; Tyrannidae.
GAUUUCACUUUGAAGAAAGUUUGAGAUAACUGAUAAGCAGAGUUCAUAUAAAGAGUAUGCUCCCAAAUACUGAACAACAGAAAUGGGCGUGCAUAUGCUGCUGCUCUGGAAACCAGGAAUCAAUUACUGUGCUGCUCCUACUUCCAUCAAGAGAUAUCCAGAAGACCCCCAAAGCUACCUUUUACAAGUUCCUCCAUGAAUUCACAAGAAAAGGACAUGGAGGAUACCUCCCCUGGUCUCUCCAACUUACAUAUGAACAGAAGCUGAACUGUCGUCUCUCUGGAAGGUUCCUUCACUUCCAACGGUCUCUCUGCGCUUUCCUGCUCUGUCUUUGUACUUUGGAUUCUUCACUGCUUUGUUGUCUUCAUACUCUGUGUUCUUUACAAGCAGAUUAAAUUCCAUCAAGACAAUGAA